Pseudophryne corroboree (corroboree frog) is the source of this 175-nucleotide long non-coding RNA. RefSeq lists it as uncharacterized. Lineage: Eukaryota; Metazoa; Chordata; Amphibia; Anura; Myobatrachidae. The transcript is spliced from 3 exons. The record is from RefSeq and is a predicted model, not a curated record.
AGAUUGAUGGAGAGGAUCCGUGGUUAAUCGCCUUAUCAAUUAUCACACCAGAUUAGACGAUUGAUGGAGAGGAUCCGUGGUUAAUCGCCUUAUCAAUUAUCACACCAGAUUAGACGAAGUGAGGAGCCUGCCGCCGCUGAGCUGCUUCCAUGAGGAGGCACAAGCAGAAAUCAGG